GCGAACAUAGCUCAGUUGGGAGAGCGUCAGACUGAAGUCAACUUCAAUCACUUAAUCUGAAGGUCGUGUGUUCGAUCCACACUGGUCGCA
Molecule: transfer RNA, 90 nt
Filed under: Colletotrichum graminicola M1.001
Lineage: Eukaryota; Fungi; Ascomycota; Sordariomycetes; Glomerellales; Glomerellaceae
Description: tRNA-Phe for anticodon GAA
Rfam family: tRNA
About the family: Transfer RNA (tRNA) molecules are approximately 80 nucleotides in length. Their secondary structure includes four short double-helical elements and three loops (D, anti-codon, and T loops).
Source: Rfam by way of RNAcentral